CCCUGGGUUAGUCGGGACCUAAGCUGAGGCCGAAAGGCGUAGGUGAUGGACAACAGGUUGAUAUUCCUGUACUACCGAUAACCGUUUGAGAGAUGGGAUGACACAGUAGGAUAAGCUAAGCACACUGCUGGUUAUGUGUGCCCAAGCAUUGAGGCAGUCAAAGUAGGCAAAUCCGCUUUGAUAAUGCUGGGAUGUGAUGGGGAGCGAAAUUUAGUAGCGAA
RNAcentral lists this ribosomal RNA (221 nucleotides) under Clostridioides difficile. RNAcentral's name for it is "partial 23S ribosomal RNA". It matches the Rfam family "Bacterial large subunit ribosomal RNA", at positions 1373 to 1589 of the family's 2925-position model. Lineage: Bacteria; Bacillati; Bacillota; Clostridia; Peptostreptococcales; Peptostreptococcaceae. The record is from RNAcentral.